UUGACCUCAAAUCGGGUGAGACUACCCGCUGAACUUAAGCAUAUCAAUAAGCGGAGGAAAAGAAACUAACAAGGAUUCCCCUAGUAACUGCGAGUGAAGCGGGAAAAGCUCAAAUUUAAAAUCUGGUGGUCUUUGGCCAUCCGAGUUGUAAUUUAGAGAAGCGUCUUCCGCGCUGGACCGUGCACAAGUCUCCUGGAAUGGAGCGUCAUAGAGGGUGAGAAUCCCGUCUUUGGCAUGGACACACCAGGGCUUUUGUGAUGCGCUCUCGAAGAGUCGAGUUGUUUGGGAAUGCAGCUCAAAAUGGGUGGUGAACUCCAUCUAAAGCUAAAUAUUGGCGAGAGACCGAUAGCGAACAAGUACCGUGAGGGAAAGAUGAAAAGCACUUUGGAAAGAGAGUGAAACAGUACGUGAAAUUGUUGAAAGGGAAACGCUUGAAGUCAGUCACGUCGACACGAGACUCAGCCUUGCCUCGGCUUGGUGUACUUCUCGGCUGACGGGUCAGCAUCAAUUUUGCCCCUUGGAUAAUGGCAAGGGAAAUGUGACACCUUUAUGGUGUGUUAUAGUCUCUCGUCGCAUGCAAGGGUUGGGAUUGAGGAACUCAGCACGCGCCCUUUGGGUGUCGGGGUCUUGCCC
This 633-nucleotide ribosomal RNA is filed under the name Russula cf. xerampelina UBC F14292. RNAcentral's name for it is "eukaryotic LSU rRNA". It matches the Rfam family "Eukaryotic large subunit ribosomal RNA", at positions 1 to 639 of the family's 3401-position model. The record is from RNAcentral. RNAcentral also lists the same sequence under 1 other name. Lineage: Eukaryota; Fungi; Basidiomycota; Agaricomycetes; Russulales; Russulaceae.